This 358-nucleotide ribosomal RNA is filed under the name uncultured Synechococcus sp. RNAcentral describes it as "bacterial SSU rRNA". It matches the Rfam family "Bacterial small subunit ribosomal RNA", at positions 1023 to 1382 of the family's 1533-position model. The record is from RNAcentral. Lineage: Bacteria; Bacillati; Cyanobacteriota; Cyanophyceae; Synechococcales; Synechococcaceae.
GGAACGCAGAGACAGGUGGUGCAUGGCUGUCGUCAGCUCGUGUCGUGAGAUGUUGGGUUAAGUCCCGCAACGAGCGCAACCCACGUCUUUAGUUGCCAGCAUUCAGUUGGGCACUCUAGAGAGACCGCCGGUGAUAAACCGGAGGAAGGUGUGGAUGACGUCAAGUCAUCAUGCCCCUUACAUCCUGGGCUACACACGUACUACAAUGCUACGGACAAAGGGCAGCAAACUCGCGAGAGCUAGCAAAUCCCAUAAACCGUGGCUCAGUUCAGAUCGUAGGCUGCAACUCGCCUACGUGAAGGAGGAAUCGCUAGUAAUCGCAGGUCAGCAUACUGCGGUGAAUACGUUCCCGGGCCUU